Molecule: long non-coding RNA, 533 nt
Filed under: Heterocephalus glaber (naked mole-rat)
Lineage: Eukaryota; Metazoa; Chordata; Mammalia; Rodentia; Bathyergidae
Description: lncRNA (ENSHGLG00100027641.2)
Source: RNAcentral
GAAGUGUUUCUGGAACAGAGCAGCAUUAGAGAGAUACAAGGCCAUGGCAUUACACAGCUUGUUUGUGCAAUGGUGGCAGAAGAUAAAGCAGUAGAAAUGGAGCAUCUGCAAGCAGAGUUUCAUCAUCUAGAAAUCUGUGUGCUGGACUCAGAUGAGGAAAUUGAGCAUUAGAGUAAUUAAAUCACGUGCCCAGGCUCACACAAAUAGCAAAUGAAUGAAUCUUGGAUUUUAACUCAGGCAAUAUAAUUCCAAAGAAAGAAAAGGAAAGAAAAGAAAGAAGAAAGAACGAAAGAAAAAGAAAAGAAAGAAAGAAAGAAGAAAGAAAGGAAGGAAGAAAGGAAGGAAAAAGAGAGAGAGAGAAACGGUUGAAAAUUGGGUGGACGUGUGGACAAUUCACAGAUUUGUGCAGACUCUGAAGAUCCUCAUCUUUCUCUCUUCCCAGCCUGAAUCUGGGAGGAUCCGAAGGGGAAAUCUAAUGAAAAUAGUUCCCUGCCAAUAUAAUUAUUCCAUUUUAUAGAUGAGAGAACGGAGGC